This 468-nucleotide ribosomal RNA is filed under the name uncultured bacterium. RNAcentral's name for it is "partial 16S ribosomal RNA". It matches the Rfam family "Bacterial small subunit ribosomal RNA", at positions 28 to 507 of the family's 1533-position model. The record is from RNAcentral.
GACGAACGCUGGCGGCGUGCUUAACACAUGCAAGUCGAACGGAAAGGCCCUGCUUUUGUGGGGUGCUCGAGUGGCGAACGGGUGAGUAACACGUGAGUAACCUGCCCUUGACUUUGGGAUAACUUCAGGAAACUGGGGCUAAUACCGGAUAGGAGCUCCUGCUGCAUGGUGGGGGUUGGAAAGUUUCGGCGGUUGGGGAUGGACUCGCGGCUUAUCAGCUUGUUGGUGGGGUAGUGGCUUACCAAGGCUUUGACGGGUAGCCGGCCUGAGAGGGUGACCGGGCAAAAUGGGAAUGAGGAACGGGCCAGACUUCUAAGGGAAGGAGGAGGUGGGAAUAUUGCACAAUGGGCGGAAGCCUGAUGCAGCAACGCCGCGUGCGGGAUGACGGCCUUCGGGUUGUAAACCGCUUUCGCCUGUGACGAAGCGUGAGUGAUGGUAAUGGGUAAAGAAGCACCGGCUAACUACGUG